RNAcentral lists this ribosomal RNA (386 nucleotides) under uncultured bacterium. RNAcentral describes it as "bacterial SSU rRNA". It matches the Rfam family "Bacterial small subunit ribosomal RNA", at positions 30 to 416 of the family's 1533-position model. The record is from RNAcentral.
AUUGAACGCUGGCGGCAUGCCUUACACAUGCAAGUCGAACGGCAACACGGACUUCGGUCUGGUGGCGAGUGGCGAACGGGUGAGUAAUAUAUCGGAACAUACCCUAGAGUGGGGGAUAACGUAGCGAAAGUUACGCUAAUACCGCAUACGAACUAAGGUUGAAAGUGGGGGAUCGCAAGACCUCAUGCUCAUGGAGUGGCCGAUAUCUGAUUAGCUAGUUGGUGAGGUAAAGGCUCACCAAGGCGACGAUCAGUAGCUGGUCUGAGAGGACGACCAGCCACACUGGAACUGAGACACGGUCCAGACUCCUACGGGAGGCAGCAGUGGGGAAUUUUGGACAAUGGGGGCAACCCUGAUCCAGCAAUGCCGCGUGAGUGAAGAAGGCC